This 455-nucleotide unclassified non-coding RNA is filed under the name Hevea brasiliensis (rubber tree). Lineage: Eukaryota; Viridiplantae; Streptophyta; Magnoliopsida; Malpighiales; Euphorbiaceae. The record is from RNAcentral.
AAGGUACAAACUUAUUUCUAUGAGAUUUUGAAGUUUAUUAGCUUAUUUUAUAUUUUUAGACGUAUCAACUAAUGAGAAAUAAGGUGAAUUUUACAAUUAUUAUCUUAGAAUUUAAUUAUGAGUUUUUUAAACCUUUGUUCAAUUGUUUGCUCUCAUGAACUAAAUUCAGCACGUCCUAAAUUCUAUGUGCAGUUUAUAGAUUCUGUUUAACUUAGUUGUUGGACUUGGAGCGGAGAUAUAUGAGAUGAAAGAGAUGUGAAUUAUAUUAUUUAUUAAACAGGCUCUUCAGAAACAUUAGCUUUUAAAUUUUGUUCAUGUUGUUGCCUUGUGAUGCUUGUUGGAGCAAUUAUUAUUAUUGAAAAAUGUCGAUUUAUGCUAAAUUAUUGUACUAUUUAUUUAUGUAUCUUUUUUAAUUAGGAUUUGAUUUUUUAUUUUGUAAUGGAGGUACGCAGGCA